Carcharodon carcharias (great white shark) is the source of this 1261-nucleotide long non-coding RNA. RefSeq lists it as uncharacterized. The transcript is spliced from 2 exons. The record is from RefSeq and is a predicted model, not a curated record. NCBI's taxonomy places the organism in Eukaryota, Metazoa, Chordata, Chondrichthyes, Lamniformes, Lamnidae.
UCUCGCAGGCUAGCAGGAAAAGCUUUUCAUCGAUGGUCGUUUCCUCUUUGACUUCCCGCACGUCUUUUAAGGACAAGGUGGGACACAAUAGAAGGCAGCAGAGCAGAGCUAAUGGAGGACCAGGACAUCUGCAUUGCCCGAGCCCUACGGUGGAAAUGGUGCCAGCUGGGGCAGUGCCUGUGAUACCUGGCUUGGGUGAGAACAUCAAGAAUGAUGAUAAAUUUUCAACCUUAUGCCCCUUCUCAACUCCCAGCUCACCCUCUUCCUGUUAUCCGGCAUGGUGAGUGAGCUGUUGGUAGUGAUGGGACAUAUCAUUUCCCAACUUGCUCCAUUCCCUCAGCCUGACCAUCCCCUGCUUUCUGAUACCCAAGAAUCACCACAUGCCAACCACAGUGGCCCCAGGAGGAGAGCAACACCUCACCACGGAUGAAGAGGCUCCAUUCCUGACUUGACAUUUGCAGCCACAGGCUCAGAUAACAGAAUCGUGUAUACCUGGGAGGCCAGUACAGGGAUAGGAUCAGCACAUAGUGAACCACUGGGCAUCAGUGAACUGCAGCCUGACCAGGGGUAAUGGAAGGUUCAGUCAGCUCAAUGGAGGGUGAAGUCACAUACCAGUCCUGCCAGAAGGCAUUUGGAUGAAGCCCUCAUUAAGGUGGCAUACAUGAGAAAGCUGAUGGGCACUCACACUGAGAUGCUGAGUGCAUUAUCUGGCCUUGGACAUCCUCUCAUCACUGUCAAGGUGAAUGGAGGAAGAGUGUGGCUCCAACUUGCCCUCACUGUAGCCUCUGCUCCAUCUCCCUGCCAUGCUGAAGAUUCAGAGGCACUGCAACUUCAGCCCCCAUACUUGUUGCAGCCUAUUUCUGGACAGAUCACCUAAUCUUCUGCCAUCCCUAUGAAGAUGCGGCAACAGUCUUCUUCAAAUCCAGGAACUCACCACAAUCCCUCUAGAAACACCCCACAGUAUCUCCAGACACUUUCUAACAACAGAAACCAUGCCAGAGAAAAGAAAGGCAAUUCCAGUUCCAGGAAUCUGGUGUGCGAUCCAAAAGAAUAUGAAUGUGGCCACAUUCCCAAAUAUCUAUACAUAAUCUAGAAAAUAGAAGAAUUAGUAAAAAAAAACAAACAUGAAUUUGUUGUACAGAUAAAUAGGCCAGUUAUUUAUUGGAAUCUUUUUAUUUGCCGAGUCAUUUAAGCCUUGUAUUUGAAAAUCACUCAUUUUUGAUGUCUACUGAUAUAAAUAAAUACAUUUACAUCAUGAAAA